RNAcentral lists this unclassified non-coding RNA (213 nucleotides) under plant metagenome. RNAcentral describes it as "partial contains small subunit ribosomal RNA, internal transcribed spacer 1, and 5.8S ribosomal RNA". The record is from RNAcentral.
UCUCCGUAGGUGAACCUGCGGAAGGAUCAUUCAUAAUAAGUGUUUUAGGGCACUUUUUUAAAUCCAUUUCCACCUUGUGUGCAAUGUCAGGGUUGAUUUUUCUCUCGAGAGGAUCAACCCCAAACAUCAACUAUAUCUCAACUCUUUGUCUGAAAAAUAUUAUGUAUAAAACAAUUCAAAAUACAACUUUCAACAACGGAUCUCUUGGCUCUC